GCCUUCGUGGUGCAGUGGUUAUCACGCUGGGUACGUAUUCCAGAGGUCGGUGGUUCGAGUCCCGGCGAAGACU
This is a non-coding RNA of Stegodyphus mimosarum, 73 nucleotides long. The record is from Rfam. Lineage: Eukaryota; Metazoa; Arthropoda; Arachnida; Araneae; Eresidae.